AGCCCCCCCCCCCCUCUUGGCGUUUUCUGGUGAUUUCUGCACACUUAGACACUUUCUGAGCUGUCCAACCCAGGACAAAGACGUCCCAUCUGCAGAUAGGCGUUCGGAGGACAGAACACACACCCUCAACACCACACAGCAGCACUACAGACAUGUCGGACUCUGAGACCGCCGCUGCCCCCGCCGAGGCCCCCGUCCCUGCUGCUUGUGCCAGCAUCAAAGCUGACCUGGACAAAUGUGUGGCAGAGAAGGGAGGCGAGGGGUGCAAAGAUCUGAUGGAGGCCUUUGCUGCUUGUGUGAAGAGUGCAGCUGAGGGGACGUCAUGAGGGGUCGUCCUCCAACCUCAUAUGGUCCACUGCACUGAGUCCUCCAAGUUCCCAGCAUUCCCUUCUGCACAACAGCACUGGACUGAAUGAUGACAACGAUGAUGGUGAUCAUGGCGCGACAAACAUUGUGUUGGUUCGGGCUGAAUCCGGGAUCUGGUGGCAGUAACCACAAUUUCCUCCCCCUGUCCUUCCCCCUGUUUUAGGCUUAUCUGGUGUCCCUCAGUCUUGCCUCCAUUCCCCUUCUCCCUCUUUUGCUGACGUACAGCACAUCAACUUGUAGACAAUUCCAGAGAGCUGAUGGGCUGUAAUGUAAAUUGUCCACUUCAGAUGAAUACUUAUAAAUGGAAAUAAAAGUAUCAUAUAAUUGGUAUAAAAACUGUU
Molecule: long non-coding RNA, 707 nt
Organism: Micropterus dolomieu (smallmouth bass)
Lineage: Eukaryota; Metazoa; Chordata; Actinopteri; Centrarchiformes; Centrarchidae
Exons: 4
Source: RefSeq, a predicted model, not a curated record